GUUAUUCUUAAAAUGAAUGAAUGCUUUCAAUUAUUGACCAGGAUGUAAAGACUGUAUCUGGACAAGAAUGCCAUCAACAGUACAUAUUUUUUGAGAUGAGAUAAAUUUGCACUCACCUUUAACCUUACCUCUUCUUUGACCAUAGGGCGUAUGUGGAUGCAACGACACCCCAGUGUUGCUUAGUAACCUGAUGCCACUGACAGAGUACACUGUGAUCAUCUUGGCUUUGUAUGAUGGAGGUCGCCAAGCCAAGCCCCUGACUGGCUGAUUUACCACCAAGACAGUCCCAGAGCCUCUGAACCUAAAGACCAGUGAAGUCUCCACAGAGAGCUUCAGGGUCACCUGGGAACACUCAGCCCAAGACAUGGUCCUCUACAGACUCACCUGGACCCCAACCAGAGGAGGAGACACUAAAGAGAAAACCGUAACACCCUCUGACUGGACUGAUUCCCAACACUGAAUACAAGGUGGCCGUGUCCUCCACCUUCAGAGACAAUUUCAAAAGUGACGCCGUGAACAUCAACGAGUCAACAGGUCAGGGUUCGAGUGAAAGUUCUAGUGAAGGUUCUAGUUAGGAGGGAUCUCCAACUGGCAGCCAUGAAGAUACUGAUGAGAACCAAGAACUGUUACCUGGUAAAGGUCUGUAUAUAUCAACCUCCCUCUCUGCA
This is a long non-coding RNA of Oncorhynchus masou masou (cherry salmon), 668 nucleotides long. RefSeq lists it as uncharacterized. NCBI's taxonomy places the organism in Eukaryota, Metazoa, Chordata, Actinopteri, Salmoniformes, Salmonidae. The record is from RefSeq and is a predicted model, not a curated record. The transcript has 4 exons.